ACCAUACAGGGGAACACUCGGCAGAGCCAGAGGCCUGGGCCCAAGUCCUGCCACCAGCUGGCUGUGAAACUGUGGUACAGCACCUUGUGUCCUGCCACCAGCCGGCUGUGAAACUGGUACAGCACCUUGUCCUCAGGUCCUUGGUUUCCUCACUUGUAAAUUCAUGGUUCUCCAUGGCAUCUCUGGUCUUCAACAUUAUUUUGCAUAGAGUCUCAGAAGCUUUAGUGUGAGCGGAUGAUAUGGGCACGAAGCAAGGCACCCAGAAGUGGGGGCAACUACUCUGCUUUCUAAAAUGCAAGGGAACCGGAAAAUCCAGGAGCCGUGCCAAAGUCUAUGUUCCCUUUAUGAGCUGUAACGCACACCAUGAAGGUCUGCGGCUUGGCUAUUGAGUCAGUGAGAGCGUGAACCUACUAUUAGAAGAAAAACUCUGAAUACGUCUGAACGUCAGAAAGAACGAAGUUUGGACACAUUGUCUUUAAGAACUGUAACACUCACCCCAAGGGUUUAUGGAUUCAUUCUUGAAAUCAGUGAAACCAAAAGCUUUCCAAAGUUUAACACACAGGGAAAUGACUUACUGCAAAGAACCACUCUUCCCCACGAGACUUCGAGAAGACCCGCUGUCACGGACUGAGUUGUGUCCUCUUAAAAUUCAGAUGUUGGAGUCCAAACCCCCAGUAACUCAGAGUGUGAACGUAUUUGAAGAGGUCUUUAAAGAGGUGAUGAAGGGAGAGAGACCCCAUGAGCUCGUCAAGCUCCUUCUGUGACUGAUCAGAGAUCCCACCGUGAGUCCAGCUCCUGGUCCCAUGCUCUGGAUAUAUCGGUCCCUGGCAGCGUGGCUCCAUCUCCGUAGCCUGCUUUUGACAAAAGUGGAUACAUAAAUCUAGGGGCCACCUAGCUAGUUCUAAUAAGACUUUGGAAGUCAAAAGCUAAAGAAGACCAGGGGACCAAGCUGGAAAUCAGGCUCUGCAAUCAGAUUCCAGAGGGAAUGCCAUUCCACCCAAUCACCUAGCCACAACGGUUCCCUUCCUUCAAGAUGCUGCAUGCCUCUUCAGGCGAAUGGAUUACCUUGUAAGAGUGACCUGAAAAAGCGUUAGCCCAGCCACACCGAGGCUUAACUGAGCCAUUUGAUUCUCACUGCCUCUCUCUGUUGCUUCCUCUUGCUUUCAACUACAGGGUCUUUCUGUUUAGGUGGUGAAAAAAAUGAUCGUUAAAAACAAUAAACCUGGGGACCUCUGAUACCAUGAGCCCAGCCAGA
Molecule: long non-coding RNA, 1255 nt
Filed under: Homo sapiens (human)
Lineage: Eukaryota; Metazoa; Chordata; Mammalia; Primates; Hominidae
Description: novel transcript
Source: RNAcentral